AUUGAACGCUGGCGGCAGGCCUAACACAUGCAAGUCGAGCGGAUGACGGGAGCUUGCUCCUUGAUUCAGCGGCGGACGGGUGAGUAAUGCCUAGGAAUCUGCCUGGUAGUGGGGGACAACGUUUCGAAAGGAACGCUAAUACCGCAUACGUCCUACGGGAGAAAGCAGGGGACCUUCGGGCCUUGCGCUAUCAGAUGAGCCUAGGUCGGAUUAGCUAGUUGGUGGGGUAAUGGCUCACCAAGGCGACGAUCCGUAACUGGUCUGAGAGGAUGAUCAGUGACACUGGAACUGAGACACGGUCCAGACUCCUACGGGAGGAAGCAGUGGGGAAUAGUGGACAAUGGGCGAAAGCCUGAUCCAGCCAUGCCGCGUGUGUGAAGAAGGUCUUCGGAUUGUAAAGCACUUUAAGUUGGGAGGAAGGGCAGUAAGCUAAUACCUUGCUGUUUUGACGUUACCGACAGAAUAAGCACCGGCUAACUCUGUGCCAGCCGCCGCGGUAA
Molecule: ribosomal RNA, 500 nt
Filed under: uncultured bacterium
Lineage: Bacteria
Description: partial 16S ribosomal RNA
Rfam family: Bacterial small subunit ribosomal RNA
Source: RNAcentral